RNAcentral lists this ribosomal RNA (498 nucleotides) under uncultured bacterium. Its description in RNAcentral is "partial 16S ribosomal RNA". It matches the Rfam family "Bacterial small subunit ribosomal RNA", at positions 28 to 508 of the family's 1533-position model. The record is from RNAcentral.
GAUGAACGCUGGCGGCGUGCCUAAUACAUGCAAGUCGAGCGAACAGACGAGGAGCUUGCUCCUCUGACGUUAGCGGCGGACGGGUGAGUAACACGUGGAUAACCUACCUAUAAGACUGGGAUAACUUCGGGAAACCGGAGCUAAUACCGGAUAAUAUAUUGAACCGCAUGGUUCAAUAGUGAAAGACGGUUUUGCUGUCACUUAUAGAUGGAUCCGCGCCGCAUUAGCUAGUUGGUAAGGUAACGGCUUACCAAGGCAACGAUGCGUAGCCGACCUGAGAGGGGUGCCGGCCCACCCGGAACGGGAGACAGGGCCAGGCCCCAUAGGGGGGGAAGAGGGAGGGAACCUCCGGAAAGGGGAAAAGGUUGGAGGGACCAGCCCGGGGGGAGGAGGAAGGGUUUUGGGAUCGAAAACCUUUUUUUUGGGGAAAAAAAAAUUGUUAAAUAACUUUUGCCCGUCUGGACGUUCCCUAAAAAAAAGCCCCGGACAAACCCGGGG